Molecule: long non-coding RNA, 754 nt
Organism: Amphiprion ocellaris (clown anemonefish)
Lineage: Eukaryota; Metazoa; Chordata; Actinopteri; Pomacentridae
Exons: 3
Source: RefSeq, a predicted model, not a curated record
CCGGUCCCAUACGCCACUUCCUGUCUGUCACUGCUCUGCACUCAGCCCUGUCACAGCACCACGCUGUAUCUGGCGUUUGUUUGACUUUCCAAAACUGCUCCGAACUCCGAUUAAAAGUAGCAAUUGGGCUAAAACAGCUCCACGGCACUCCUCAUCCUCUUAUCUACCUCUCUGGCGAUCGAUACAUCUCCCCGUAUCCCGGCGGAUCCUCGUAUUAAACCCCCUCGUGUUCGCACUACUCACCGGUCAGUUUUUUUUUAGGUUUUUUUUUUUUUUUUUCCCCCCUUCCUUCUGAUUAAUUCUCUUCGAUGGCGAGCUAUCCCGUCCCCUACCUCCUGCUGCGGUAGGACACCUUUUGUUGUUUCAUCGAACCUGGAUCAAGGAUUGUUUUGUUCAUGGACACUGAACUGAAAAAAAGACUUUGAAUUCCGAACCUCUCAAAAGGAGGCUUUGAACUGAACUUUGAACUGCAAUUCCCGACCUGGUGAUCUUUUGUUUGGUGUUGAACUUUCGAACUGUAUUGGUUUUUGUUUAUUAAUUAAUAUACAUAAUAUAAUAUUAAUACCAUAACUAAUAUUAUAUUAUACUAUAUUAAUUGAUUAUACCUGUUUAUUAUCUAUAUAUUUAUAUUAUACAUACCUCAUACUAUUUCACCCUUACUAUUGUUAUUAUUACUCUGGUUAUUAUAUAAUACCUUUUAUUUAUAUGCAAAUCCAAUUACAAAUUCUGAAAAAAUACAUCUACGAUACUUAAA